This is a small nuclear RNA of Myotis lucifugus (little brown bat), 106 nucleotides long. NCBI's taxonomy places the organism in Eukaryota, Metazoa, Chordata, Mammalia, Chiroptera, Vespertilionidae. The record is from Ensembl.
GUGCUCACUUUGGCAGCACAUAUACUAAAAUUGAAACAAUCGAGAGAAGAUUAGCAUGGCCCUGUGCAUGGAUGACACACAAAUUCAUGAAGUCCUCCAUAUUUUA